UACGUAGGGUCCGAGCGUUGUCCGGAAUUAUUGGGCGUAAAGGGCUCGUAGGCGGUUCGACACGUCGGGAGUGAAAACUCGGAGCUUAACUCCGAGCCUGCUUCCGAUACGGGCAGACUAGAGGUAGGCAGGGGAGAGCGGAACUCCUGGUGUAGCGGUGGAAUGCGCAGAUAUCUGGAGGAAUACCGGUGGCGAAGGCGGCAUCCUGGACCGGCACUGACGCUGAGGAGCGAAAGCUAGGGGAGCAAACGGG
This 253-nucleotide ribosomal RNA is filed under the name uncultured bacterium. Its description in RNAcentral is "partial 16S ribosomal RNA". It matches the Rfam family "Bacterial small subunit ribosomal RNA", at positions 524 to 776 of the family's 1533-position model. The record is from RNAcentral.